GUGCCCGCGUGGAUCUUGCGCGCCAUCGGAGCGAGUGACCGUCGGUCUACGGAACCGAAGGUCAGAGGUUCGAAUCCUCUCGGGCGCG
This 88-nucleotide transfer RNA is filed under the name Paraconexibacter antarcticus. RNAcentral's name for it is "Paraconexibacter sp. 02-257 tRNA-Arg". The stretch from base 22 to 88 matches the Rfam family "tRNA". Rfam says of the family: Transfer RNA (tRNA) molecules are approximately 80 nucleotides in length. Their secondary structure includes four short double-helical elements and three loops (D, anti-codon, and T loops). The record is from RNAcentral. Lineage: Bacteria; Bacillati; Actinomycetota; Thermoleophilia; Solirubrobacterales; Paraconexibacteraceae.